This 444-nucleotide ribosomal RNA is filed under the name uncultured bacterium. RNAcentral describes it as "bacterial SSU rRNA". It matches the Rfam family "Bacterial small subunit ribosomal RNA", at positions 29 to 507 of the family's 1533-position model. The record is from RNAcentral.
AACGAACGCUGGCGGCAGGCUUAACACAUGCAAGUCGAACGCCCCGCAAGGGGAGUGGCAGACGGGUGAGUAACGCGUGGGAACGUACCCUUCGGUUCGGGAUAACCCGGGGAAACUCGGGCUAAUACCGGAUACGUCCUGGCCUGGAGACAGGGUGGGAGAAAGGUUUACCGCCGAAGGAUCGGCCCGCGUCGGAUUAGCUGGUUGGUGGGGUAAUGGCCCACCAAGGCGACGAUCCGUAGCUGGUCUGAGAGGAUGAUCAGCCACACUGGGACUGAGACACGGCCCAGACUCCUACGGGAGGCAGCAGUGGGGAAUAUUGGACAAUGGGCGAAAGCCUGAUCCAGCCAUGCCGCGUGAGUGAAGAAGGCCUUAGGGUUGUAAAGCUCUUUCAGCGGGACGAUAAUGACGGUACCCGCAGAAGAAGUCCCGGCUAACUUCGUG